AACGUAGGACACAAGCGUUAUCCGGAAUUACUGGGCGUAAAGGGCUCGUAGGCGGCCAACUAAGUCAGACGUGAAAUCCCUCGGCUUAACCGGGGAACUGCGUCUGAUACUGGAUGGCUUGAGUUUGGGAGAGGGAUGCGGAAUUCCAGGUGUAGCGGUGAAAUGCGUAGAUAUCUGGAGGAACACCGGUGGCGAAGGCGGCAUCCUGGACCAACACUGACGCUGAGUGAGCGAAAGCCAGGGGAGCAAACGGG
Molecule: ribosomal RNA, 254 nt
Filed under: uncultured bacterium
Lineage: Bacteria
Description: partial 16S ribosomal RNA
Rfam family: Bacterial small subunit ribosomal RNA
Source: RNAcentral